AACCAGGAAUGUAUGCACAUAAUCAGAAGUCCAGUUGUUGUGUUUCCAGUACUAGAAUUUGAUUAAUCAUCAUCUUUGGCCUAUGAACAGUCUCAACCGUGGUCCAGGUACCCAAGGAAAAUAGAUGGUGAGGAUACCUGAGAAGACCCUAUCUGACCUACCCACCUCCAGCCCCAUCAAAGAACAUGCUCCUGAUCUAGUUUCACAGUACACAUCCAAACUUAACAAUUCAGAGAAGAAUUGAGUUUCUGCAGCUCUGGAGCACACUGGAAUAUCAAGUUAGAACAGCUUCCCAGGAGUGAACA
Long non-coding RNA from Neogale vison (American mink), 305 nucleotides. RefSeq lists it as uncharacterized. NCBI's taxonomy places the organism in Eukaryota, Metazoa, Chordata, Mammalia, Carnivora, Mustelidae. The record is from RefSeq and is a predicted model, not a curated record. The transcript has 3 exons.